Molecule: ribosomal RNA, 368 nt
Filed under: uncultured organism
Description: bacterial SSU rRNA
Rfam family: Bacterial small subunit ribosomal RNA
Source: RNAcentral
CGGAGGGUGCAAGCGUUAUCCGGAUUCACUGGGUUUAAAGGGCGCGUAGGUGGGUAAGUAAGUCAGUGGUGAAAUCUCCGGGCUUAACCCGGAAACUGCCAUUGAUACUAUUUGUCUUGAAUACUGUGGAGGUCAGCGGAAUAUGUCAUGUAGCGGUGAAAUGCUUAGAUAUGACAUAGAACACCAAUUGCGAAGGCAGCUGGCUACACAAAUAUUGACACUGAGGCACGAAAGUGUGGGGAUCAAACAGGAUUAGAUACCCUGGUAGUCCACGCCCUAAACUAUGGAUACUCGACAUUUGCGAUAAACUGCAAGUGUCUGAGCGAAAGCAUUAAGUAUCCCACCUGGGAAGUACGAUCGCAAGAUUG